RNAcentral lists this ribosomal RNA (303 nucleotides) under Triticum aestivum (bread wheat). RNAcentral describes it as "partial small subunit ribosomal RNA". The record is from RNAcentral. Lineage: Eukaryota; Viridiplantae; Streptophyta; Magnoliopsida; Poales; Poaceae.
AUGGUGUGUGACCACUGUAAAAAACCAGGCCAUUUGAAGAAGAGUUGUUUUGAUAUAGUUGGUUAUCCUCCUGGAUGGCAACCGAAACAAUUUAACAGAUUCACUAGUGGCGGUAGUAAUGCAAGAGGACCAGAUCGAGCUCAUCUUACUUUAUUUGGGGGAGAACGGUCUGCUGUAACAGCCCAAGCACUUCAAGAAUUUAAAGGCAAACUUAUGGCAAAUACUUCAGAAGGCCCUGCUGAAGCUACAUCUGAUGCUCAUUCUGGGAAAGGGUCUGAAGACAAGAAGAAAUCUUGGGACUAG